UACACUCCUACGGGAGGCAGCAGUGGGGAAUAUUGGCCAAUGGGCGCAAGCCUGAUCCAGCCAUGCCGCGUGAGUGAUGAAGGCCCUAGGGUUGUAAAGCUCUUUCACCGGUGAAGAUAAUGACGGUAACCGGAGAAGAAGCCCCGGCUAACUUCGUGCCAGCAGCCGCGGUAAUACGAAGGGGGCUAGCGUUGUUCGGAUUUACUGGGCGUAAAGCGCACGUAGGCGGACUAUUAAGUCAGGGGUGAAAUCCCGGGGCUCAACCCCGGAACUGCCUUUGAUACUGGUAGUCUUGAGUUCGAGAGAGGUGAGUGGAAUUCCGAGUGUAGAGGUGAAAUUCGUAGAUAUUCGGAGGAACACCAGUGGCGAAGGCGGCUCACUGGCUCGAUACUGACGCUGAGGUGCGAAAGCGUGGGGAGCAAACAGGAUUAGAAACCCCAGUAGUCCCAUGA
Molecule: ribosomal RNA, 452 nt
Filed under: uncultured organism
Description: partial 16S ribosomal RNA
Rfam family: Bacterial small subunit ribosomal RNA
Source: RNAcentral